GCGAGUAUCAUAUAAUGGUUAUUAUCUUAGCUUUCCAAGCUAAUGAUGCGGGUUCGAUUCCCGCUACUCGCU
Molecule: transfer RNA, 72 nt
Filed under: Candidatus Kuenenbacteria bacterium CG10_big_fil_rev_8_21_14_0_10_36_11
Lineage: Bacteria; Candidatus Kueneniibacteriota
Also listed under: 1 other name
Description: tRNA-Gly
Rfam family: tRNA
About the family: Transfer RNA (tRNA) molecules are approximately 80 nucleotides in length. Their secondary structure includes four short double-helical elements and three loops (D, anti-codon, and T loops).
Source: RNAcentral